RNAcentral lists this non-coding RNA (119 nucleotides) under Chromera velia. The record is from RNAcentral. Lineage: Eukaryota; Chromeraceae.
AGAGAAAGAGAGAAAGAGAAAGAAAGAAAGAAAGAAAGGAAUAUAAAGAAGAGAGAUGUCGACUGCUUACUUUCCCCGUUUCAAAUUUCCUUUUGUCGAUUAUUCUGCCGUCCUCCUAU